This is a long non-coding RNA of Gorilla gorilla gorilla (western lowland gorilla), 3251 nucleotides long. RefSeq lists it as uncharacterized. NCBI's taxonomy places the organism in Eukaryota, Metazoa, Chordata, Mammalia, Primates, Hominidae. The record is from RefSeq and is a predicted model, not a curated record. The transcript is spliced from 4 exons.
CUCCGGUUAUCCCAGCCCAACUAAUUCUGCCCACGGAGCAGAGCUCCACAAAAGUGCGGGAAUGUCUGACAGGGAAGAAUCAGAGAAAGCUUCACCAGCAGCCCGACAUUCACCUGGACGGACAGUGCACUUUUCUUACGUCUGGACAGCGAAGGCAGGGCGCACCAUCUACCGCAGGCUAGGAUGAUCACCAACCGCCCCACCGCACCCUGCGCCAGCCCUACGGCGCCCGCGGACUGCAAGUCGCGGCGACCCAGGAGCAUGCGCGCUGCCGCCCCUGGCCUGCCAGGACCCAGAGGGAGCGGAGCACGCGCCUUCGGGAAUCUUCGGUGCGCCGAGUCUGUUCGCCGCCGGGGUCUGUCACCCCCGCCCCUCGCCUCUGCCCGUGAGCGUCAGCUGGCUUGGCUUUUUCAGAGGAAACAGAGACUCUCAGACAUGAAUACUGUGACACUGACCACCAGGCCAACUUAACAUCAGCAGAUAUCCUGUCUCAGAUGAAGAGAAUGGCCUGUCCAGAAGACAGCCAAAUACAUCCUUCAAACAGACUUCACUGCAGGAGACAGAGUGGAUUCAUCCCGUAUUCUCCACGUAGACUUCCAUCUUCAUGAAUACUCCAAGAAGAUGGUUCAGUUGACUAUUGCAAAGUCUCAGGUAUGUCUUUAUUAGCAGCAUGAAAAUGGACUAAUAGUACCAGCAGAGUGGGGCAUUGCUGAAAAGAUACCCGAAAAUGUGGAAGCAACUUUGGAACUGGGUGUUGAAAUAAUCUGGAGGGCUCAGAAGAAGAUAGGAAAAUGUGGGAAAGUUUGGAACCUCCUAGAGACUGUGAAUGGCAUUGACAAAAAUACUGAUAGUGAUAUGAACAAUAAGGUCCAGGCUGAGGUGAUCUCAGAUGGAGAUGAAGACCUUGUUGGGAACUGAAGUAAAGGUGACCCUUGUUAUGUUUUAGCAAGGAGACUGGCAGCAUUUCACCCCUGCCCUAGAGAUUUGUGGAACUUAGAGCUUGAGAGAGAUGACUUAGGGUAUCUGGUAGAAUAAAUUUCUAAGCAGCAAAGCAUUCAAAAGGUGACUUGGGUGCUGUUAAAAACAUUCUGUUUUAAAAGGGAAACAAGAGCAUAAAUGUGGAAAAUCUGCAGCCUGAUGAUGCAGUAGAAAAGAAAAACCCAUUUUUUUUUAAGGAGAAAUUCAAGCUGGCUGCAGAAAUUUGCAUAAGCAGCAAGGAGCCUAAUGUUAAUCCCCAAGACCAUGGGGAAAAUGUCUCCAGGUCAUGUCAGAGACCUUCAUGGCAGCCCCUCCCAUCACGGCCCAGAGGCCCAGGAGGAAAAAGUGGUUUUGUGGGCUGGUCCCAGGGUCUCUGUGCUGUGUGCAGCCUAGGGACUUGGUGCCGUGUCCCAGCUGCUCCAGCCAUGGCUGAAAGGAGCCAACAUAGAGCUUGGGCUGUGGCUUCAGAGGGUAGAGGCCCCAAGCAUUGGCAGCUUCCAUGUGAUGUUGAGCCUGUGGGUGCAGAGAUGUCAAGAAUUGAGAUUUGGGAACCUCUGCCUAGAUUUCAGAAGAUAUAUGGAAACACCUGGAUGUCCAGGCAAAAAUUUGCUGCAGGGGCAGAACCCUCAUGGAGAACCUCUCCUAGGGCAGCGUGGAAGGGAAAUGUGGGGCAGAGCCCCCACACAGAGUCUCUAUUGGGGCACUGCCUAGUGGAGCUGUGAGAAGAAGGCCACAGUCCCAGAAUGGUAGACCCCAGAAUGGUAGAUCAACCACCAGCUUGCAUCUUGUGCCUGGAAAAUCUACAGACACUCAACAUCAGCCUGAGAAAGCAGCCAGGAGGGAGGCUGUACUCUGCAAAGCCACAGGGGCGGAGCUGCGCAAGACCAUGGGAACCUAUCUCUUACAUCAGCGUGACCUGAAUGUGAGACAUGGAGUCAAAGGAGAUCAUUAUGGAGCUUUAAAAAUUGACUGCCCCACUGGAUUUCAGACUUGCAUGGACCCUGUAACCCCUUUGUUUUGGCCAAUUUCUCUCAUUUGGAACAGCUGUAUUUACCCAAUACCUGUACCCCCCAUUGUAUCUAGGAGGUAACUAGCUUGCUUUUACAGGCUUGUAAGUGGAAGGGACUUGCCUUGUCUCAGAUGAGACUUUGGACUGUGGACUUUGGGUUAAUGCUGAAAUGAGUUAAGACUUUGGGGAACUGUUGGGAAGGAAUGAUUGGUUUUGAAAUGUGAGGAUUAUGAAAUUUGGAGGAGCCCAGGGAGGAAUGAUAUGGUUUGGCUGUGUCCCCACCCAAAUCUCAACUUGAAUUGUAUCUCCCAGGAUUCCCACAUGUUGUGGGAGGGACCCAGGGGGAGGUAAUUGAAUCACGGAGGCCAGUCUUUUCUGUGCUAUUCUCAUGAUAAUAAGUCCCACAAGAUCUGAUGGGUUUAUGAAGAGUUUCUUUUUGCUUCUUCCUUAUUUUUCUCUUGAUGUCACCACGUAAGAAGUACCUUUUGCCUCCCACCUGAUUUUGAGGCCUCCCCAGCCAUGUGGAACUGUAAGUCCAAUUAAACCCUUUUUGUUCCCAGUCUCAGAUAUGUCUUUAUCAGCAGCAUGGAAACGAACUAAUGCAAUCAUAGUUUUUAAAAACCAAUCUAAAUGUAACUCUUGAACAUGAUUAGCUGUUUCAUCCCUAGUAGAGUGACAGAAGGAAACAUCCAUAGACAGGAAUAAUAAGAAACCAGCUAAACUUCUAAACCAUUUUUAAAGGAUGCGUGUGAGCUGGCAUAACCUACCUACUCUUUCCUAUGGGCCUCUACUGAGAGCAUGGAGGUAAUACACCUAAUACACUGAAGACCAGGGCAAGAGAGCUGGAAGAAAUCCCUCUUAAGCACUCCAGGCCUUCACUGAGUAUGAGGUGCUGGUCUCCAAAGGCAGAGGGCAAGGCAAGGCAGAGAGGGAUCUCCUGGGGCACAGACAACUGACAAAAGAAACACUUGGAUUGUUGUAUAAGAGGAGUGAGCUUUGUAAAUGCCACGUUAGCUGGCCCGCUGUGGAACAGACUGCCUAUGAAUGACAGCAGUCACGUAGUGGAUGAACACUGAUCUGAGAGCCUGUAAAAGAAACUCUUUGGAAUGAUAAUGUCAUCUAGACCUUUGAUACUCAAAGUGUGAUUCCUGGACAGAUGUAUUGGCUUUACCUGGCAGCUUGUUGGAAAUGUAAAACCUCAGGCCUCACCCCAGACCUACUGAAUUAUUUAUAUUAAUUAAAAUUAAUUUUUAUUUCAACAAAA